Molecule: non-coding RNA, 26 nt
Filed under: Mus musculus (house mouse)
Lineage: Eukaryota; Metazoa; Chordata; Mammalia; Rodentia; Muridae
Source: RNAcentral
UGAAAUCCUAAAUUUGCAGCCAGUUG